CCGUACGAGCGCACCCCUAUCCCUAGUUGCUAGCAGUUCGGGCUGAGAACUCUAGGGAGACUGCCGGUGACAAACCGGAGGAAGGUGGGGAUGACGUCAGGUCAUCAUGGCCCUUACGGCCAGGGCUACACACGUGCUACAAUGGUGCGCACAGAGGGCUGCAAACCCGCGAGGGGGAGCUAAUCUCACAAAACGCAUCGUAGUCCGGAUCGGAGUCUGCAACUCGACUCCGUGAAGUCGGAAUCGCUAGUAAUCGUGAAUCAGAAUGUCACGGUGAAUACGUUCCCGGGCCUUGUACACACCGCCCGUCACACCAUGGGAGUGGAUUGCACCAGAAGUAGUUAGUCUAACCUUCGGGAGGACGAUUACCACGGUGUGGUUCAUGACUGGGGUGAAGUCGUAACAAGGUAGCCGUAGGGGAACCUGCGGCUGGAUCACCUCCUU
RNAcentral lists this ribosomal RNA (444 nucleotides) under uncultured Marinobacter sp. RNAcentral describes it as "bacterial SSU rRNA". It matches the Rfam family "Bacterial small subunit ribosomal RNA", at positions 1087 to 1532 of the family's 1533-position model. The record is from RNAcentral. Lineage: Bacteria; Pseudomonadati; Pseudomonadota; Gammaproteobacteria; Pseudomonadales; Marinobacteraceae.